Molecule: long non-coding RNA, 1212 nt
Filed under: Gossypium barbadense (sea-island cotton)
Lineage: Eukaryota; Viridiplantae; Streptophyta; Magnoliopsida; Malvales; Malvaceae
Description: long non-coding RNA (GBAR_LNC017346)
Source: RNAcentral
CUUUUCAUCACAACUAUUAACCAUAUCUCAAGUUAAUCACAGUAGGCACUUAACAAUAACUAAAAGCACUUCAAGUCUCAAACAUAACCCAAAGAUACCAAACAUAUAUAUACAACCACAAAGCUUACUCAAACUAGCUUAUAAAACAACAUCAUCAUAAACAAAAUAACUUAAAGGCUCCUAGUAGAUGCCAUUUAUAACCCAAAAUCAAAAUAACCAAAACUUCUACUAAUAUGAAGGAUGGAUAGUGUGAAUGGACUCCGGCUUGAUUCCAACCGAUCGAACUUUACGUUGACCUAUAGAAAGAUAAACAACUAACAUAAUAAUGUGAACUUAAACUUACCAAACAUGUUAUAUUUAACCUAUUCAAGCAUGAGUUCAUUCAUUAGAUAAUGUGCACACAUUUUAUUCCUAUACACACAACAUCACAAGGUUAGUAGGUGUAUCAACGAAACAUAUAAUUCCAACAAAUCAUGGAACAUGUAAUAAUAAAUAUUUUCGUACAUAUUUCAUCCAUCAUAUAUUCGAUAACAUAGCUUCCCAUUUCAAGUAUUUAUAUCAACAUUUUCCAAUUCACAUGUCUUAAUCACAUAACAUUUCAUAUAUAUACACACAUUCAUUUUAAGCCUUUAUCACCCGGUAAACCAAAUGAAAUAAUAUUGGAUACUCGAGAAAUGCUCACACAAGCUGUAAAUAUAACAUGUAACCAUAUAUGCUCACAUGAGCUGUGAAAUGGGCUUGCUCACACAAGCUAUGGGUUGGGAUGCUAGGCUACACGAUGCUACUCACAUGAGCUAUGGAGAAUCCACAACAAAUGCAAGACCUCAACCAUCGGUAGGACAUCCAAGACCAGCACCCGAAACUGUAUAUAACCUCUAAUGACAUGUCAUUUGUAUCCUAAGUAUUCACAAGGUUCAAAUGGGACAGAUUCCAUAUCUAAUCCUUUAACUUCAUUCCAUUAUACCAUCUCAAAUAUGCAUCCAUGAAAUUCACGUUUUUCACACAUAAUCAUCAAUUUGAUUAACAUUACGAUUUAGUUCAAAUCACUGGUUAACAUUUUAUAAACAAUUAAAAUUAUACAAAACACAAAAUUAAUUAAACAUUCGUCCAAAAUAAAAAUUAACAAGCUUAAAAAAUAUACGAACUUACUUAGACCAAAAACGGUUGCGAAAACAAGGCCGACGAUUAAUCCGCUAAUUUAGCUUUUCCACG